UACGUAGGUGGCAAGCGUUGUCCGGAAUUAUUGGGCGUAAAGCGCGCGCAGGCGGUCCUGUAAGUCUGAUGUGAAAGCCCACGGCUCAACCGUGGAGGGUCAUUGGAAACUGGGGGACUUGAGUACAGAAGAGAAGAGUGGAAUUCCACGUGUAGCGGUGAAAUGCGUAGAGAUGUGGAGGAACACCAGUGGCGAAGGCGACUCUUUGGUCUGUAACUGACGCUGAGGCGCGAAAGCGUGGGGAGCAAACAGG
This 253-nucleotide ribosomal RNA is filed under the name uncultured bacterium. Its description in RNAcentral is "partial 16S ribosomal RNA". It matches the Rfam family "Bacterial small subunit ribosomal RNA", at positions 524 to 776 of the family's 1533-position model. The record is from RNAcentral.